RNAcentral lists this ribosomal RNA (589 nucleotides) under Enterococcus faecium. Its description in RNAcentral is "bacterial SSU rRNA". It matches the Rfam family "Bacterial small subunit ribosomal RNA", at positions 21 to 581 of the family's 1533-position model. The record is from RNAcentral. Lineage: Bacteria; Bacillati; Bacillota; Bacilli; Lactobacillales; Enterococcaceae.
GGCUCAGGACGAACGCUGGCGGCGUGCCUAAUACAUGCAAGUCGAACGCUUCUUUUUCCACCGGAGCUUGCUCCACCGGAAAAAGAGGAGUGGCGAACGGGUGAGUAACACGUGGGUAACCUGCCCAUCAGAAGGGGAUAACACUUGGAAACAGGUGCUAAUACCGUAUAACAAUCGAAACCGCAUGGUUUUGAUUUGAAAGGCGCUUUCGGGUGUCGCUGAUGGAUGGACCCGCGGUGCAUUAGCUAGUUGGUGAGGUAACGGCUCACCAAGGCCACGAUGCAUAGCCGACCUGAGAGGGUGAUCGGCCACAUUGGGACUGAGACACGGCCCAAACUCCUACGGGAGGCAGCAGUAGGGAAUCUUCGGCAAUGGACGAAAGUCUGACCGAGCAACGCCGCGUGAGUGAAGAAGGUUUUCGGAUCGUAAAACUCUGUUGUUAGAGAAGAACAAGGAUGAGAGUAACUGUUCAUCCCUUGACGGUAUCUAACCAGAAAGCCACGGCUAACUACGUGCCAGCAGCCGCGGUAAUACGUAGGUGGCAAGCGUUGUCCGGAUUUAUUGGGCGUAAAGCGAGCGCAGGCGGUUU